RNAcentral lists this ribosomal RNA (231 nucleotides) under uncultured eukaryote. Its description in RNAcentral is "partial large subunit ribosomal RNA". It matches the Rfam family "Eukaryotic large subunit ribosomal RNA", at positions 40 to 266 of the family's 3401-position model. The record is from RNAcentral.
AUAUCAUUAAGCGGAGGAAAAGAAACUAACAAGGAUGCCCUCAGUAACGGCGAGUGAAGCGGGCAAAGCUCAAACUGAAAAUCGAUGCUCCAUGCGGGGUUUCGAAUUGUAGUCUAUAGACGCGCUAUCAGCGGUGAACCGGGUAUAAAUCUUUUGAAACAAGGUGUCAUAGAGGGUGAGAACCCCGUCUUCGACUCGGAGCUCAUUGCGUACGAUGCGUGUCAAGACGAC